RNAcentral lists this ribosomal RNA (481 nucleotides) under Acentrogobius caninus (tropical sand goby). Its description in RNAcentral is "partial 16S ribosomal RNA". It matches the Rfam family "Bacterial large subunit ribosomal RNA", at positions 1938 to 2570 of the family's 2925-position model. Lineage: Eukaryota; Metazoa; Chordata; Actinopteri; Gobiiformes; Gobiidae. The record is from RNAcentral.
UAUUUUGACCGUGCGAAGGUAGCGUAAUCACUUGUCUUUUAAAUAGAGACCUGUAUGAAUGGCAUAACGAGGGCCAAGCUGUCUCCUUUCCCUAGUCAAUGAAAUUGAUCUGUCCGUGCAGAAGCGGACAUACAAACAUAAGACGAGAAGACCCUAUGGAGCUUAAGACAACAAGAUAUGCCACGUCAAAUGCCCGAACCCCUCCCCUCGGAUUGAACAAACUGGCCCAUAUUUUAAUGUCUUCGGUUGGGGCGACCGCGGAGAAACAAAAAACCCCCGCGUGGAAUGGGGCCUACCCCAAAGCUAGAGCCACAGCUCUAACUAACAGAAUAUCUGACCAGCAAGAUCCGGUAUUACCGAUUAACGGACCCAGUUACCCUAGGGAUAACAGCGCAAUCCCCUUAUAGAGUCCAUAUCGACAAGGGGGUUUACGACCUCGAUGUUGGAUCAGGACUUCCUAAUGGUGCAGCCGCUAUUAAGG